RNAcentral lists this small RNA (1641 nucleotides) under Malus domestica (apple). RNAcentral describes it as "sRNA MD10G0029000". The record is from RNAcentral. Lineage: Eukaryota; Viridiplantae; Streptophyta; Magnoliopsida; Rosales; Rosaceae.
AUGGAGCUUGCUCUUUCCAUCCUCUUCCUCUCUCCCAACUUCUCCUCUUUUCUUCGUCCUGCUACUGCCAGAGGCGGCCUUCAUACUUCCUACCCUCCAGGUUUCCCUUGUUGCAAAUUAUCCAUGGGAUGGCACAUAGGAUAAAAGGUAAUCAAUUUACAUCCAUAAAAGUUCUGCGCUGAACCAUGCUUAUUGAUAAUUGUCUUCAUUCAUUUCCAAUAGACUUCUUCCGGCUGUACGUUGGCCUCAGUGUGAGUGUACGUUUUGAUCAUUAUUCAAUUUUACCUAUGAUGCUCAAUGUGUUCAGGUUUUUAAAUGUUUCUUUUAUAGUGUGAAACAAGCAUGAUGAUGUCAGUAUUAGGUCUUAAACUGUUACCGUAAUGUUAUGAACAUUGCCGAUUACUUCUAAUAUGAUUAUGGAUUUUCGAAUGGUGCCUAACAAUAUGUGUAAGGUCAAAGUAACACUAUCCCAGAAUUUAUAUGCUAAUGCUUAUAAAUUUUUAUUUUGCACAUACUCGUCUUUUGAUCGAAAUUAAAUUACGGGAAAGAUUAUCUUGCAUGUCCGGAUGACGAGACAUUCUGGUUCUUAGCAAGUGUAUACAGUCGCUCUCACUACAAUGUGUCAUUGAGCAAGGAAUUUGAGGGAGGCAUUACAAAUGGAGCUUUCUGAUGGGUGUGAUAUCGUUUAACUACACUCAACUUAUACCCUUUAGCUAGGAGUAUAUGGAAGGAUCCUUUCAUCAGAUGGUGGUAGGCCGUUACCUGGCUUUAUUGCAAUCGAAGGAAUAAAUUCCAAGGUUCAAGCUAGCAGAGCAAUUGUGGAUUACCAUAGCUUGCUUGCCCCCGCCGGAAGAUAUAAGGUCACAGCUACUGUGCCUGGGUAUAAAUCAAAGACGACAUGUAUCUGGUUGGAAGAAGAAGGCACGACAAAUGGGGAUUUUGUUCUUGAUCCUGAAGUCAAUCCCAGAGAAAUUCAACUUCAAAGUGCCUGUGAUUGCGGCUGGGGAAGUAUGAGCAUCAUUUGGGGAACCCCUUUCGAAGUGUACGUGCUUUUGAUUGUUAUUGUAGGUUCCUUUUGUUUUUAUACAGGAGGAGAACAUUCAGCCGAUUAAAACAAAGGCAGUUAGUAGGACCGAAAAGACCAGUUGUGGCGUAAGGAUCGACUUUCCCAUUUAUACAGAUUUUUUUCUCUCUCUGAGAGUCAAAAUUAAGCCUUCUUCCUUAGGAAGAAAGUUUUGGGGAUGAUAACGAACAAUGCAACAGCAAAAAAGGAAAAAAAAGUGUAUAUUGCAAAACAAAAUGCGGCAAUUUUACAGAUUUAAACGGCAGCUCUGAAAUACCUUUCGUUAUGCACAGCACAUAAACAACAUCAAGGUCCAGUUGAAGACUAUUGUUUGGACGUAUUUUCCAUUUUCUAUUGUAGUGCAUGUAUGUAUAUUUUGAAAUUUUGUGGACUUUGCAUCUUUCCUUUCAAUUUGUAUUUUAUUGUCCAGUUGAAGCUCUUUGCUUGAGCAAAUUUCCGGCCCAUUAGCACUGCCAGUGCUUCCGCCGCAUUGGGGGAAGAUAGGUGAGAGUGCAGGGAAACACCACCCAGGAAAGUGCCAUUGUGGUCACUGGUCACCCGCUAUAACUCUGGCUGGA